GUCGACGGAGCACCCUUGACUGAGGUUUCGGCCAAAUGAUAGGAAUGCUUAGUGGCGGACUGGUGAGUAACGCGUGAGGAACCUACCUUCCAGAGGGGGACAACAGUUGGAAACGACUGCUAAUACCGCAUGACGCAUGACCGGGGCAUCCCGGGCAUGUCAAAGAUUUUAUCGCUGGAAGAUGGCCUCGCGUCUGAUUAGCUAGAUGGUGGGGUAACGGCCCACCAUGGCGACGAUCAGUAGCCGGACUGAGAGGUUGACCGGCCACAUUGGGACUGAGAUACGGCCCAGACUCCUACGGGAGGCAGCAGUGGGGAAUAUUGGGCAAUGGACGCAAGUCUGACCCAGCAACGCCGCGUGAAGGAAGAAGGCUUUCGGGUUGUAAACUUCUUUUGUCAGGGAAGAGUAGAAGACGGUACCUGACGAAUAAGCCACGGCUAACUACGUGCCAGCAGCCGCGGUAAUACGUAGGUGGCAAGCGUUGUCCGGAUUUACUGGGUGUAAAGGGCGUGCAGCCGGGCCGGCAAGUCAGAUGUGAAAUCUGGAGGCUUAACCUCCAAACUGCAUUUGAAACUGUAGGUCUUGAGUACCGGAGAGGUUAUCGGAAUUCCUUGUGUAGCGGUGAAAUGCGUAGAUAUAAGGAAGAACACCAGUGGCGAAAGGCGGAUAACUGGACGGCA
Molecule: ribosomal RNA, 680 nt
Filed under: uncultured bacterium
Lineage: Bacteria
Description: bacterial SSU rRNA
Rfam family: Bacterial small subunit ribosomal RNA
Source: RNAcentral